UUAUUUUUUUAUUAUUAGCUAUUGUAGUGUCACCCCGCACUCACAACCUCUCACCGCCCAGAGUAUUCACUCCGGUGGAGAUCGCCUCCCCGUAUCUCAUAAGCCUUUGCAUUCGUAUAUACGUGUACGUAUAAUAUAGGACGCGUUUACACGACACGGUCUGUUGGACGGCGACCGCGUAAUGACUAGGUACCUACGAGUUAUAUUAUAUCUGCAGAGCCGAUGGUUUUCUCCGUGUCGCGUGCGAUAUUCAUCUCGGGUCAAAAACGACGUAAAACGGCAGAAAGAGAAGCCGACACGCGGUCGUAAUAAAAUACAGCAUCGGCGGUGGUUAAAAAGACGUCGCGUUCAGACCUGGGAAAAGACCUCUCACGUAAUUGAUCCCAUCUCGCCGCUGAUGGACGUCCGCGAUAACCGACCGCGGCGCGAGCGAACUAGUGCUGCGAUUUGCACGACGACGCUGAAUUUUGCAGACCACAAGUCGACAGCACUCAUGAAGGCGUUCCACUACUAUACGACCUUAAUAACGAUAUUAUCUGCUAUGAUGAUAGGUUUACAACAGGUGCACGAUGACCGGCGAAAAGCUUUCAAUUUUCGUAAUUAGGAAAUUAAUACUGUUGUCACUACAGCCGAUUUAUAAGUAUAUAAGUUCACACCGACGCACCACUUAUAUGUUUUACGAACGAACUAUUCCAAAAAUCGGUAUUAGUACAUAAUUUUCAAGAACAGUGGCGCCGUCGGUUUCAAACUUAAGAAAAAAAAAAGGUUCCAAUAACUGGGAUUCCAGAUGACAAGAACUUUUGAAUAAUUUUUCGGUUUGUCACUAGACAAAAAAAAAAAAAAUUGGUAAACAAAUUAUUUCAAAUAAAUCUCAAUAAUAUUAUAAUAUAUAUUUUAAA
Long non-coding RNA from Aphis gossypii (cotton aphid), 899 nucleotides. RefSeq lists it as uncharacterized. The transcript has 3 exons. The record is from RefSeq and is a predicted model, not a curated record. NCBI's taxonomy places the organism in Eukaryota, Metazoa, Arthropoda, Insecta, Hemiptera, Aphididae.